GUGUUCACUUUGGCAGCACAUAUAUUAAAAUUGGAACAAUACAGAGAUUAUCAUGACCCCUGCACAAGGAUGACAUGCAAAUUUGUGAAGUGUUUCAAUAUUUC
Small nuclear RNA from Phyllostomus hastatus (greater spear-nosed bat), 104 nucleotides. The record is from RefSeq and is a predicted model, not a curated record. Lineage: Eukaryota; Metazoa; Chordata; Mammalia; Chiroptera; Phyllostomidae.